CUAUGCGUUUGUAACAAACCAUAUAGCUAGCUAGCAUUAUUCAUUGUUAUUUAUCUCUGGUUUCCAUAACCUUGUCUCACUCAAAGUAAAGCAUGAGUUCAAAAAACAAGGUUUGUGUAAUGACGAGUAAGGCAAAGCCAUACCUAUUAAUGAUAGGCUUGCAAUUUGGUAUGGCAGGAAAUUACAUCUUCGGCAAAGACAUUCUGAAUCAUGGAAUGAACCGUUUUGUCUUCAUUGUCUAUCGUAAUGCCAUGGCUGCUGCUGCACUUGCCCCUUUCGCCUUCAUUUUUGAAAGGAAAAGCAGGCCCAAGAUGACACUUGCAAUCUUUCUUCGGAUUAUGGUCCUUGGAUUUCUUGAGCCAGUUUUCAAUCAAAGCUUCAAUUACUUAGGAAUGAAGUAUACUUCGGCUUCAUUCACUUCUGCAAUUAUGAAUGCUGUCCCAUCCAUUACCUUUCUUCUUGCACUUCUUACUCGGAUGGAGCAUGUAAAAUUAAAAGAGGUUAGAAGUCAAGCCAAAGUGAUUGGAACCUUGGUAACAUUUGGAGGUGCUGUGUUAAUGGGAAUUUACAAAGGUCCUGGAUUCAACCUUUUUCAUUCUAGAACACAACAACAUCAUGGUGGCGGUGGAGACCCUUCCUCAUCACACAACCACCACCAAAUCGCCGGAGCUCUUUACAUUUUCAUGGGUUGUGUCGCCUUAUCUUCUUUCUACAUAUUACAGUCGAUCACCCUGAAGAAGUACCCGGCGGAGCUCUCAUUGGCGACCUUAAUAUGUGUGGCGGGAACAGGGCAAGCUACGGUGGUGGCACUUGUAGCUGAGCAUCACUCUCAAGCUUGGGCUCUUGGUUGGGACUACAGGCUCUAUGCUCCUCUUUAUACGGGAUUGGUUAGCUCAGCAAUUGCAUACUAUGUUCAAGGAAUGGUUAUGAAAAUGAGAGGCCCUGUAUUUACAACAGCUUUCAAUCCUCUUUGUAUGAUUAUUGUUGCUGCUUUGGGUUCCCUCUUUUUAGGAGAAAGACUUUAUCUUGGAAGUAUUAUUGGAAGCAUCAUCAUCACAUUAGGACUUUACUCAGUUGUGUGGGGAAAAGCUAAGGAUCACAAACACCAAGAAGCUGAUGAGGACACAAAUAACUCAUUGCCAGUAACAACUACUCCUGCUGCAAAUGAUGAUUCUUCAACCACUAACAAACCAUCAAGUUAGCACAAAUUAGACGCGUCAUAAUCGUCUAUUGUUCUUGAUUCCAUGCCGAUCAGCUACAAUGUGAUACGUACUCUAGAGUAGAAGUAGUUAGUAGUUGAUCUCGAACCAGCUUUUGCGAUCUGAGCUUGCAGCGCUGUGAAUUGAUGAACAUCCAUGGAUCCAUGCUGUGAAUCAACAAUUUGCUUCAAGCGAAGGAAGAAAGUGAAGAGCAGAGAGAAUGUGAAAUGUUGAGAUUGAUAAAAUGAAGCAAAUUGCAGUUAGUUAGUGAUGGAGGACAAGUGUUUGAAGAAAUGACUGAAUGAAUUAAAAUAGAAGGUAAGAGAUAUUGAAAUGUUUUUGGGUUUUCUAUAAUUGAAAUAAAAGGAAAAGAAGAAACAAUUCACAAUGGUAAUAACAAUUGUUGUGGUGGAAGCUUAAUAAUAAUCCACGGAAGUCACAUGGAAGCAAGUGGCA
Arachis duranensis is the source of this 1655-nucleotide RNA transcript. It is a transcript of the gene named WAT1-related protein At4g08290, with no coding region annotated. The record is from RefSeq and is a predicted model, not a curated record. The transcript has 8 exons. NCBI's taxonomy places the organism in Eukaryota, Viridiplantae, Streptophyta, Magnoliopsida, Fabales, Fabaceae.